Long non-coding RNA from Hyaena hyaena (striped hyena), 959 nucleotides. RefSeq lists it as uncharacterized. The record is from RefSeq and is a predicted model, not a curated record. Lineage: Eukaryota; Metazoa; Chordata; Mammalia; Carnivora; Hyaenidae. The transcript has 3 exons.
UGCUUGUGUCUGAGCUGGGGAAGGUGAAGGAGAGAGGGACUCGCAAGCAGGCCCCAGCUGGCAGCACGGAGCGCAGCGUGGGACUCGAUCUCACAACCAUAAAAUCACGACCUGAGCCAAAGUCCAGAGUCAGCCAUUUAACCGCUGGAGCCCCAAGUAGUCUACCUGUUCAAGCAGCAAGGAAUUCCAACUGGUCUUCAAGGUAACUCAGUAAAGGCUUACGAAAGCCAAUCCAUACAGUAAGUGUUACUAGAAUAAUACAGAACUUUAAAUUUCAUUUUUGGAAAGUAUGCGCGGCAGUGGCUUCCCAGCGCUUACAGAGAGAUGGAGAAGUGCAGCGUUCCCGCAGAGGAUUGGAACACAGCAGGUCAGAGUGUCAGGUAGCAGUGAUGUCACAAAGGGGCAGGAGGCAGGCAGCCCCACAAUUACCCCAGCCACCGGAUGAGGGGCUACUGUCAUCACUCUGCCCUCACGUGAGCUGGGGUCCAGGGAGAAAGCCACGCUGGGAACGGUUUUGUACCUUCUUCUGGACGCUGCACGUCUUUAAAUCAGAGAAUGUGCACGUCCGCUGUCUCCACCUGUGUGCUGACCAUCAGCUCAUCUUCGCGCACCACGGCCCGCGGGGCAGAUGCCUCUCUCUGCUGUGGGACUGUUACCCAAUCGGAGCCAAAACUCAGCUCUGGCUCUAGCUGCAUCCUGAGUGACUGAGUCCUGUGAAGCUCAAUCAUAGCAGAAUGUCCUUCGCAGCCUUCUUCCAGGGAGUCUGCUUUGCUUAGCUUUCUUGGAGAAAGCUUAGCCUACCUCGUCACAGGGGGUGAAUAGUUCUUAUGAUUCAGAGGCACUGAGGAUGGACAGAUGCAAGCAAGUAACUUCUAUUACUUCUAUCAAGUGGAACCCCCCGGAGUCGCCUACUGGACCACUCCUGACCUAUAAAAAUAAAGUCAUCUGGUUUAACCUAA